AGCCCCACUGUGGGCUCAGGGCUGUGAGCACCAUGGCCUGGACUCCUCUGCUCCUGGCGCUCCUCUCUCACUGCACAGGGUCCCUCUCCCAGCCUGUGCUGACCCAGCCGCCCUCCCUCUCUGCAUCUCCGGGAGCCCAAGCCAGACUCACCUGCACCCUGAGCAGUGGCUUCAGUGUUGGCAGCUACAGGAUAUACUGGUACCAGCAGAAGCCAGGGAGCCCUCCCCGGUAUCUCCUGAACUACCACACAGACUCCAUUAAGCACCAGGGCUCCGGGGUCCCCAGCCGCUUCUCUGGAUCCAAAGAUGCCUCGGCCAAUGCGGGGCUCCUGACCAUCUCGGGGCUGCAGCCUGAGGAUGAGGCUGACUAUUACUGCUUUACACCUGUUGGCAGAGGGAGCAGCUACCGUUACCCACAGUGUCUCAGAGGACGAGGAAGGGAGACCAAAACCCCUGGCCCAGAGGUGAUGACUGUCUGCAUUGGGUGUUAA
Pipistrellus kuhlii (Kuhl's pipistrelle) is the source of this 491-nucleotide non-coding RNA. The record is from the annotation of a RefSeq genome assembly. NCBI's taxonomy places the organism in Eukaryota, Metazoa, Chordata, Mammalia, Chiroptera, Vespertilionidae.